This 719-nucleotide long non-coding RNA is filed under the name Meleagris gallopavo (turkey). RNAcentral describes it as "lncRNA (ENSMGAG00000018894.1)". The record is from RNAcentral. Lineage: Eukaryota; Metazoa; Chordata; Aves; Galliformes; Phasianidae.
AAUUUCUCUGCAUACAACGUCAGUACACUGUUAAGGGGAUAGAUUGAUCUUCUGCAUUGUACUUCACAGUGACAGGGUAGGGUGAGUUUGGUUCUAAGCUGUCCUGGGGGAGUGUUUCUUACUUAUUUGAGAAACAACGUUGCCUCUAAUUAGUUAAGGAUUUGUUAGCAUAUCACUGGUAUACCUACUCAGAGGUCUUCUAGGAAAGCACAUGACAAACAACUGCUUUGCCCAGCAAGGAGCAGCAUAGAUCAGGUCUUUGUUUCCGCUGUAUUUCUUCUCAGUGCAUUUGAUUAGUCUGGUUAAUUGAACAUGUAACACAGACCAUUAUCAUGCAUCAGCAAAAGAGAUUUUGUGAUUCAAACAAAUAUGGCCAUUAUUAGCUGUUUCUGACAUAACAAACAGAACGAUUAGCUUUGGAGACGCAGCACUUAACGGAUGGCUUUGGAUGGCUUUUUGGGGACACAAUCCACAGCACUGUUGGAGGCUCUAAGAAAACUGCAAGACACUAUGCUCCCUGACCUGUCAUAUUGUUGCUGAUUGUUGCUUCUCAUUACACGACGAGAGGAGAAACCUGAAGUCAUUCCAAUCAAGAGUACAAAGAAACACAAGAUCCACAAGACUGAAGGAGUUCACACUGAGGUUGUGUGCAUGAAAUGGCACGUAAGGUUCCAGAUGCUCUGAACAAUCUGAAAAUGAUUCUUUAAUAUUUAAUUAAA